This 433-nucleotide ribosomal RNA is filed under the name uncultured Sphingomonas sp. RNAcentral describes it as "bacterial SSU rRNA". It matches the Rfam family "Bacterial small subunit ribosomal RNA", at positions 45 to 524 of the family's 1533-position model. Lineage: Bacteria; Pseudomonadati; Pseudomonadota; Alphaproteobacteria; Sphingomonadales; Sphingomonadaceae. The record is from RNAcentral.
UGCCUAACACAUGCAAGUCGAACGAAACCUUCGGGUCUAGUGGCGCACGGGUGCGUAACGCGUGGGAAUCUGCCCUUGGGUUCGGAAUAACACUUAGAAAUGACUGCUAAUACCGGAUGAUGACUUAAGUCCAAAGAUUUAUCGCCGAGGGAUGAGCCCGCGUAGGAUUAGCUAGUUGGUGAGGUAAAGGCUCACCAAGGCGACGAUCCUUAGCUGGUCUGAGAGGAUGAUCAGCCACACUGGGACUGAGACACGGCCCAGACUCCUACGGGAGGCAGCAGUGGGGAAUAUUGGACAAUGGGCGAAAGCCUGAUCCAGCAAUGCCGCGUGAGUGAUGAAGGCCUCAGGGUUGUAAAGCUCUUUUACCCGGGAUGAUAAUGACAGUAACGGGAGAAUAAGCCCCGGCUAACUCCGUGCCAGCAGCCGCGGUAAU